AUCUAGCCGACGAAUCCCAGAUAGGAUAAUACGUGCGUCCUGGAU
Molecule: non-coding RNA, 45 nt
Filed under: Schistosoma bovis
Lineage: Eukaryota; Metazoa; Platyhelminthes; Trematoda; Strigeidida; Schistosomatidae
Also listed under: 1 other name
Source: RNAcentral